RNAcentral lists this unclassified non-coding RNA (329 nucleotides) under soil metagenome. RNAcentral's name for it is "partial contains 5.8S ribosomal RNA, internal transcribed spacer 2, and large subunit ribosomal RNA". The stretch from base 1 to 120 matches the Rfam family "5.8S ribosomal RNA", at positions 35 to 154 of the family's 154-position model. The record is from RNAcentral.
GAUGAAGAACGUAGCGAAAUGCGAUAAGUAAUGUGAAUUGCAGAAUUCAGUGAAUCAUCGAAUCUUUGAACGCACAUUGCGCCCUCUGGUAUUACGGGGGGCAUGCCUGUUCGAGCGUCAUUAUAACCACUCAAGCUCUCGCUUGGUAUUGGGGUUCGCGGUUUCGCGGCCCCUAAAAUCAGUGGCGGUGCCUGUCGGCUCUACGCGUAGUAAUACUUCUCGCGAUUGAGUUCGAUAGGUCUACUUGCCAGUAACCCCCAAUUUUUACAGGUUGACCUCGGAUCAGGUAGGGAUACCCGCUGAACUUAAGCAUAUCAAUAAGCGGAGGA